GCAUAGCUACACAAGGUUUUAAAAAGUAUUUUAUUUAGAUUUUAAUAUUUUCAAUGACUUUGAUGUUUUCUUCACAGUAGGUUAGGUAAAUUAGACAUACCAAAUACUGUACACAGAAUAAAAUUUCAGAACAAAAACAAGUAAAAUAGAACUUUUGAAACAGAAGAGAUACCAUGACUUAAUAAGUUGGAUUAUUUCAGAAUAUUUCAGAAUUAUUUAUUUUCAUUACAAAGAGAAUAUUGCAAAGGUGAUUGAUGUGGGACCUUGUCUUUGAAUGCCCAAAAACCUGUGAACCGUGUAACCAGGUUUAUUGUCCACUACCUGGGCGGGUGCAUGCUGAUGUGCCAGCAUGCAAAAAGGGCUGGAAGAAAAGGUUUAAUUUGGGAAACAUAAAAAGUAGGCUGGAUCUUGAAAGAUGUUGGAAGCUUGAGAUAGACAGCUGAUGUGUUAAUGGUGCAUUCAGUCUCAAAAGCUAGUUUUUGAUGCAGGGGAUGUUGUAAAGAGAGCACCACAGUCUCCCCCUCCUGGACUGGAAGCAAAGACGGUUGACAUCCCAAUGAAGCUUCAAAUGGUGAGGGGGUUAGUGAGCAUACUUAACCCAAGGACGAUGAGGCCUUCAGGAGGAGGGAUUGAGUUAAAGCAUUACCUCUUGGGAUGGUGUGGACACAGAGGAUCAGGAUGGAGGGGGAGAGCUGAAGACUGGGAGAAGGUUCUGGAGCAAUACUGAAGCAGUACCAAGACACAUCUGUAAGCUGGAACCUCACACAGCAGACAAGAAGCAGCUUAAAAAACAAAUCUUCAAGGUGUGGGGAGGAACAAAACAAGAUGAAGCUGUAGUUAAACUUUGGAUCCAAGAUCUGUAAAUGAAACACAACUUCAGCGCACAUGGUACAAAGUGAUAUAAUGAGUGACCUAACACAAACAGGCUAACCUGAAAUGCAAAACUGAGCCAAAAGACAACAGGAACUCGAGUCUCUUGGUGUAAGCAAGUCUUAACCAAAUACUUUUCAUAUUCACCGGUAACAAAAAUAUUUAUUUAAUAUUUAUUUAUAGAAAUAUUUGUUUAACCAAAAAAACCAUUCCUGGAAGUCACAAAGCCCUCCUACAGCGUCUGUUUUUUCACUACAUCAAACUGCAUUUUCAAGCUUCUUCUGCUAUCUUACUUCCAGAUGAUAAAAAGGUCAAGCCAAUAAAACUUCAUCAUAAUUAAAUUAUCUUUCAACUAGUUUUUAGAACCUUUGACCUUUUUAGCACCUUUGCAGAUUGUGAAGAUCACAUAUUGAAACAAACAACAUAUUUCCAAGACUCUUACUUCAGCUUGGGUCAAAAUAGCCUCUGAGGGGCCUCUUACUUUAUUCUUCUUAACAGCUUCUUCCAGAAUGGCCUUUACUCUUCCCCGAGAGAGCGGCCAAUGAGGAGACUACAAUACUAAGUAUAACUACAACGAUGACCUGGACACGUCAAAGAAAAACUGGAUGUUAAAGUUUACUUUAAAAUGACUUUAACAGUCACAAAUUAAGCCAUUACCAUCGCUUAUUAAUUUCAUAUGAUGGUGUUACUUUUAUAUAGUAAAUGGAAAAGGGUCUGGGUAUUAUACAGUAUUCCUGUUCUACUGGAGCGUCAAAGUGCUUUAUACAACAUGUCUCAUUCACACGUUGACACAUAUUCAAACAAGCACUUUUUAUUUUCUACAACUAAAUGCUUUCUAUUGAACUUUAACACUUCAGAGGCCAACUUGGGGUUCAUUAACUUGCCCAAAGAUGCUUUGACAUCAAAACUUUGAGCUCAAACUACCAGCCUUCCAGUUACUGGAUGACCAGUUCGACCUCCUGAGUUAUAGCCACCACCAUACACGUUGAUUUUUUAAAUAUUAUUCAACCAUCUUGUUGCUGAUUGACUUCAGUGUAACUGACUUGUUGCAUCAUCCAACCUUCUUAAGCAUCAAGUCACCACCAGUUUCCCUGUAAAAUAUCUUGAUGCUACCUUGACAAUUAUAGUUUCUCUCAGUGAUUAAAAUGUCCUUAAGCCCUGAGAGAAGGAAUGAGAUGUGUUAAUGAGUUAAUGCUAAGAAGUUAGACAUUUAAGUUAGAAUUUCUAGUUAUUAGAUCAGUAAUAUACAUUGUACAAUCAUUCAAUUACAUAAAAUAAAAAUUGCCAAAAUAUCUGUUCAGGAGGAUGCUGAUGGCCAGUUGUGAAGGUGUCAUGAUUUUUCUGCUGUCCAUUUUGUGAAUAAAUUUCUUGACAUUUAAACCAAAAAA
Oreochromis niloticus (Nile tilapia) is the source of this 2258-nucleotide long non-coding RNA. RefSeq lists it as uncharacterized. Lineage: Eukaryota; Metazoa; Chordata; Actinopteri; Cichliformes; Cichlidae. The transcript is spliced from 3 exons. The record is from RefSeq and is a predicted model, not a curated record.